Long non-coding RNA from Nematostella vectensis (starlet sea anemone), 1446 nucleotides. RefSeq lists it as uncharacterized. NCBI's taxonomy places the organism in Eukaryota, Metazoa, Cnidaria, Anthozoa, Actiniaria, Edwardsiidae. The transcript has 2 exons. The record is from RefSeq and is a predicted model, not a curated record.
GGUUCGGGGCGUCGAGCCACCUGCUAGCCUCCUUUGCUGUUCUGAAUACUAGCUCGCUGUCGGUGAAUAUGUCCCUAAAAACAAAGUGUGUCUUCACCUUUGGUGUUAUAAAAACAUCAAAAGAGACGUAGUUAUUUUUCGUAGGGUUUUCGUCCCAUGGUGAUAUUCUGUAUUCUGCACGCGCGUCUAGUCUAUAUUGUUUUGGAAAUCCAAACAGUUGCUGAACCGUUUCCUUGUAUGCCUGUGCGUCAUCGGUGACCAGAAAAUCCUGUAUAUUCUCGGGUUUCCAGCUAUUACCAGGGAAGUGAUAUAACGUUUUGACUAGAUUCCCAUUCUUGUCGAAUGGAUCGUAUUCGUCCCCAUUGAAAACGAAUUGCACAUCGCCAUGCUCGUCGGCAGAGAACCUAAAGCCUUUAGAAACCAAAUCACGUAUGCUAUUCACCUUUGCCCCUGCCAUCGCCGCCGUUUGGUCGUGCUUAGAGACUUUUCGCGACAGUCGUUUAGAAACUGCCGCACAGCCUACAGACGUAAGACCAAAAACACCGGCCAAAGCACCCAACGGAACUCCAACGAUGAUACCCAAACCUGACAGAGAAGUUCCUAAACCACUAGACCCAAGAAUGACGGAUGCGAGUCCUAAGCCCACACUUACCUUUGAAAACACGCUCUGCGCUCGUUUAUACUUUUUCCUCACGUUCUCGUAAUGUUUAACUUCUUGUUCCAAACUUCCCAAAACAUCGUGGGUCUUUUGAAGUCUAAAGUUAUCACCACGUUGUGGUACAUUUGGGUAGAUUGAAUUGUAUUCUUCCAUAGUUUUAUUAUGGAGAGAGGCUAUUCUUUAAGUAAUUUCUAAGAUUAGACGUAUCGGGUAGAGGCCACGCUCUAUUGUAUUUCCGUCGCCGUCCUUUACACUAAAACGGAGACUACUCACGUAACCGACUGAUGUGGUACUGACCUGUAUCGGAUCGUGUGGAUUAAGGUAUAUCUUUCCUUCAUCAAGCUCUAUAGAUGUUAGGAUUUGUGAGGGCGCCCCUUGUUGGAGGGAGUCAGACGCGUUCACAAGAUCGCAGUGGAUAAAAAUAGCCUCGUGACCUAUCAUCUUUAUCUCGUGGCGAGUGUUUGCUUCCAGCUCCCUGGUCUUGAGUCCUAACAGGCAGGCGAGCGGCUCAUUCAACACGACGUUCCGAUGAACUUCGAGUGACGAGUCUCUAAUAGAGACUGACUUUUCACCAAGACGCAUACCCCCAUCUAUUUGACGUUUUAGCGUCUCGAUCGUAUACUGCCCCGCGGGGAUCCUAAGGAUAAUGUUCUCACCGUCGGAGACCGUUCCCUCGCUUGAGAGACUGUUACAACGAUUAUGAAACGCACAUCCUCGCAGCGCGAUAAACCGCGGCUUUUCAAUAGGUUGUUCUAAAUAGACAGUAAAGUCAGCAACUUUUCCUUCAA